UAGGGAAUCUUCCGCAAUGGGCGAAAGCCUGACGGAGCAACGCCGCGUGAGUGAUGAAGGUCUUCGGAUCGUAAAACUCUGUUAUUAGGGAAGAACAAAUGUGUAAGUAACUAUGCACGUCUUGACGGUACCUAGUCAGAAAGCCACGGCUAACUACGUGCCAGCAGCCGCGGUAAUACGUAGGUGGCAAGCGUUAUCCGGAAUUAUUGGGCGUAAAGCGCGCGUAGGCGGUUUUUUAAGUCUGAUGUGAAAGCCCACGGCUCAACCGUGGAGGGUCAUUGGAAACUGGAAAACUUGAGUGCAGAAGAGGAAAGUGGAAUUCCAUGUGUAGCGGUGAAAUGCGCAGAGAUAUGGAGGAACACCAGUGGCGAAGGCGACUUUCUGGUCUGUAACUGACGCUGAUGUGCGAAAGCGUGGGGAUCAAACAGG
RNAcentral lists this ribosomal RNA (429 nucleotides) under Actinomycetes bacterium. RNAcentral's name for it is "Actinobacteria bacterium partial 16S ribosomal RNA". It matches the Rfam family "Bacterial small subunit ribosomal RNA", at positions 355 to 776 of the family's 1533-position model. The record is from RNAcentral. Lineage: Bacteria; Bacillati; Actinomycetota; Actinomycetes.